Molecule: long non-coding RNA, 358 nt
Organism: Gopherus evgoodei (Goodes thornscrub tortoise)
Lineage: Eukaryota; Metazoa; Chordata; Testudines; Testudinidae
Exons: 3
Source: RefSeq, a predicted model, not a curated record
CGUGGGGCAGCAGAGCAGGGUCUCAGUGGCUGGAAGGGGCUGGUCCCACUCCUUCCACUUUCUGCAUCUGGGCCAUGUGUCGCCCAGGCCCACCCCCUGUUCCUCUCCCAGCAUGCUGCCAAACAGCUGAUGGCGGCUGGUGGGAGGCACUGUGGGGGAGAGGGAUGAGCUGAUCGUCGCUGUGGUGGUGUGGCGUUUAGAUGUUGCUUGUAAUUAUUAGAACUGGGAGCACUGGCUGUUGGGAGUCUGAAAGGACAGGAAAGAGGAAGGAGGAAGGAGGAGUUGAAGAGGCAGAGUAAGAGUUACAGAGGGUGCAGCAGCAGCUUGGUAAAGAGGUUUCCACUUUAAAAAUAAAGUC